GCUGGCGGCAUGCCUUACACAUGCAAGUCGAACGGCAGCGCGGAGGGGUAACUUUCUGGCGGCGAGUGGCGAACGGGUGAGUAAAAUAUCGGAACGUACCCGGGAGUGGGGGAUAACUCGUUGAAAGAUGAGCUAAUACCGCAUACGUCCUGAGGGAGAAAGUGGGGGAUUCGCAAGGACCUCACGCUCACGGAGCGGCCGAUAACUGAUUAGCUUGUUGGUGAGGUAAAGGCUCACCAAGGCGAUGAUCAGUAGCUGGUCUGAGAGGACGACCAGCCACACUGGAACUGAGACACGGUCCAGACUCCUACGGGAGGCAGCAGUGGGGAAUUUUGGACAAUGGGGGCAACCCUGAUCCAGCAAUGCCGCGUGAGUGAAGAAGGCCUUCGGGUUGUAAAGCUCUUUUGUCGGGGAAGAAACGGCGUUUUCUAAUAAAGGACGCUACUGACGGUACCUGAAGAAUAAGCACCGGCUAACUACGUGCCAGCAGCCGCGGUAAUACGUAGGGUGCAAGCGUUAAUCGGAAUUACUGGGCGUAAAGCGUGCGCAGGCGGUUUGUUAAGUCA
RNAcentral lists this ribosomal RNA (566 nucleotides) under uncultured soil bacterium. RNAcentral's name for it is "bacterial SSU rRNA". It matches the Rfam family "Bacterial small subunit ribosomal RNA", at positions 35 to 590 of the family's 1533-position model. The record is from RNAcentral.